GCUUGUAUAGCUUAGUGGUAGAGCGUUGCACUUGUAAUGCAAAGGUCACCUGUUCAAUCCAGGUUAUGAGCA
The sequence is a transfer RNA, 72 nucleotides long. It matches the Rfam family "tRNA". From Rfam's summary of the family: Transfer RNA (tRNA) molecules are approximately 80 nucleotides in length. Their secondary structure includes four short double-helical elements and three loops (D, anti-codon, and T loops). Further hydrogen bonds mediate the characteristic L-shaped molecular structure. tRNAs have two regions of fundamental functional importance: the anti-codon, which is responsible for specific mRNA codon recognition, and the 3' end, to which the tRNAs corresponding amino acid is attached (by aminoacyl-tRNA synthetases). tRNAs cope with the degeneracy of the genetic code in two manners: having more than one tRNA (with a specific anti-codon) for a particular amino acid; and 'wobble' base-pairing, i.e. permitting non-standard base-pairing at the 3rd anti-codon position. The record is from Rfam.